This 253-nucleotide ribosomal RNA is filed under the name uncultured bacterium. RNAcentral's name for it is "partial 16S ribosomal RNA". It matches the Rfam family "Bacterial small subunit ribosomal RNA", at positions 524 to 776 of the family's 1533-position model. The record is from RNAcentral.
UCCGAAGGGGGCUAGCGUUGCUCGGAAUCACUGGGCGUAAAGCGCACGUAGGCGGACUCUUAAGUCGGUGGUGAAAUCCUGGAGCUCAACUCCAGAACUGCCUUCGAUACUGAGAGUCUCGAGUCCGAGAGAGGUGAGUGGAACUGCGAGUGUAGAGGUGAAAUUCGUAGAUAUUCGCAAGAACACCAGUGGCGAAGGCGGCUCACUGGCUCGGUACUGACGCUGAGGUGCGAAAGCGUGGGGAGCAAACAGG